GAUGAACGCUGGCGGCGUGCCUAAUACAUGCAAGUCGAGCGAACAGACGAGGAGCUUGUUCCUCUGACGUUAGCGGCGGACGGGUGUGUAACACGUGGAUAACCCACCUAUAAGACUGGGAUAACUUCGGGAAACCGGAGCUAAUACCGGAUAAUCUAUUGCACCGCAUGGUUCAUUAGUGAAAGACGGUUUUGCUGUCACUUAUAGAUGGAUCUGGGCCGCAUGAGCUAGUUGGUAAGGUAACGGCUUUCCAAGGCAACGAUGCGUAGCCGACGUGUGAGGGGGAUCGGCCGCACGGGAACUGAGACAGGGACCAGGCUCCUACGGGAGGCAGCAGAAGGGAAUCGUCCGCAAUGGGCGAAAGCCUGACGGAGCGACGCCGCGUGAGUUAUGAAGGUCUUCGGAUCGUAAAACUCUGUUAUUAGUUAAGAACAAAUGUGUAAGUAACUGUGCACGUCUUGAUGGUACCUAAUCAGAAAGCCACGGCUAACUACGUG
RNAcentral lists this ribosomal RNA (497 nucleotides) under uncultured bacterium. RNAcentral's name for it is "partial 16S ribosomal RNA". It matches the Rfam family "Bacterial small subunit ribosomal RNA", at positions 28 to 507 of the family's 1533-position model. The record is from RNAcentral.